AUAUAAUGUUAGCGUUAGCUUAUCUCAUUACUUAACGUUUGCAUAUACUCACUACUUGAGACGACCAACGUUAACGUGGCAUUUUUCAACGUAAGAAAAUGACCCAGGUGGCGCCGUUGCUCGAUGAACUCCGUGGCUCUUGUUCUUUGCACACGCCCCUUUCGGUGCAGUCGCUCGAGUUGACGUCCUCCUGGGUGAGGCUCUGCGGCGGUGCUGUGGCAGCAUAAAUUACCGAAAUGAAAGCUGCUCCCAUGGCGGGUCCACAGCAGUCGGCAAAAACGUGGCCUCCCCUGCACGUGUUCGCCAUGCCUUUGACACUGUGCUGUGGAUUCUUCUCCAUGGCAACCGUCCAGAGGAGAGCGGGGGGGAAAAAGGACCAAUUUAUCUUCAUUUAGGUUUUUGGCACCAACCCAAAUCCAGACCAGCCGGCUGAAGGAAACUCGAGAGCUCAACGUGGCCCUUUGGCCCCGAUGUUGCUCGGGCUUGACCGGAGGCUGAUUGGAUCCUUUGAGGUUUCUGACAAUCUAAGAAAUAGCUUUACAUUCCACUAGUUGUUAAACAAAGAAAGAAACACUAAUUGUUGCCCCCUAAAGCUAAAGUUGUAAACAGUGGGACGAAGCCAUAUUUGUUCUGUUUUUUACACGUCUUCCUUUAUCUCUUGUGCAUUGAAAAUGUUGUGCAUGUUUCUUAGAGUCAUGGCAGAGGAAGGCAGUUAAAAUGGCAGGCAAUAUUAAAAUAAAUGCAUCCAAUUUAAAAAAUAAAUCCAAUUUAAUACAAAAUUACUUCACUGAUUUCAUUCUUAUUUGGUGGUGUUAUAUUAUAAUUUAUAAGCAAUACAAAUUGUUUGCCAGAUUGUUACCUGAGAUUUAAAAGCCUUUUUGUUCACUUUAUACCAUAUUGUCAACUUUGUCCUUUACAGUUUACAAUAUAUGGCUUCAGGUCCAUUUUCAUGCUUACUUGAAGACCAGCUACAACCCACAACUUAGACAUUUUAAUCAGCAUUUUACUAUCAAUAAACUAAAUUGAGAUUCAUUUUUGUCCUAAUGGAAAUUGUUGGUACUCUGCAUAGGUCACACGCAUAAUAGGACGGAUGAUGUCCAUUCCAAUCCAAGAUUGGAUUGGAUCCAAGAUUUCACAUAGAAAUACAAGUAUCAUAGAAAUGCUGCUUGGAUCCCCAAUUUGUGAAAGAUUAGAAUUCACUAGCUAUCCCCUUUGUUCCCGUGUUUUUAGGUGUUUUAUAUUACAUUCUGUCUGUGUUUACCUCCUUUAGGAGUUUUAGGCCUUUGGGCUCAGUGUCUUUAUUGAGCUUUAGCUCGGACCACGAUACCUUCUCCAUUCAGCUGGGUAUAAAUUAGAAUUGAUUUUAGUGAAGCAUCAUGGCCUUGGUGGCCAAAUAACUAACAAUAACCUUCACAGUACGAGUGGGCGGAGAGCCGGCAUGGGCAGCAAAUAAACACACUGAGGAAGACAGCGGCAUUAUGCUCUUCAUCAUAUAGACUCAGAAUCAGCUUUAUUCCCUCGUGCUUAUGCAUACAUGUGCUCUGUUACAAAACCCAGUACAUACAAUUAAGUGAAAAGGGAAUAUAUAUAUAUAUGUGUGUGUGUGUGUGUGUGUGAAUGUGUGUGUACAUAUAUAGCUACAAUAUAUUUGCAGAUUUUCCAGCCCAGUUUGUCACCAUGAUGCGUGUACAUUUUGUCUACAGAUGACAAGAUUCAUCAAUACUCUCUGUCAAUUCCUGCGUUCAACCUGUUGAUUUAAUCCCAUUGCAAAGUUGUCAUUUUGAGUAAUAUUCAUGCUGCCUCUGCACUGAGGAAACUAUCUCCCCUUUCCCUCCUCCCUCUCUCUAACUACGCUAACUUUCCCAAAAACCCACCCCGCACAACGCCGGCUUCAUCGCACGGAGCUCAGCAGUCAAGUCGCUCAUUCAGAUUGGUGGAGGGGAGACCGGAGAGAGGGGAGACGGGUGAGUAGGGAGACGGGUGUGAGAGAUCCCAGGGACCCCUGCCGCCGUGUCUGGAUGCAGCGCCGGCUGCGCAGCGAGAGAGAGCGCAUGAGGAGAGGCGGCGCGGCGGAGUUUGUGGGUGCGCAGCUCGGUCGAGGAGCUCGACUGGCAGCCCGAGAUUGAUGGAUGGAGCCGCGUAUCGCACAUAACAUCAAUUCUGUCCCACUUUCUCUUUCAUUCCGAGUCUCACUCCGUCAUUACUCCUCCCUUCGCCUCUGUAUCCCGCAACCCCCCCCCCCCCUCCCUCCCACGAACCCCUCCCUCCCUCCCUCCCGCUGCUGCUGCUCCCGGUCCCUCG
Long non-coding RNA from Gasterosteus aculeatus aculeatus (three-spined stickleback), 2301 nucleotides. NCBI's taxonomy places the organism in Eukaryota, Metazoa, Chordata, Actinopteri, Perciformes, Gasterosteidae. The record is from Ensembl.